This 22-nucleotide microRNA is filed under the name Tetranychus urticae (two-spotted spider mite). RNAcentral describes it as "tur-miR-2-5p". Its record names the gene tur-miR-2-5p. Lineage: Eukaryota; Metazoa; Arthropoda; Arachnida; Trombidiformes; Tetranychidae. The record is from miRBase by way of RNAcentral.
UCGUCAAAGGGGUUGUGAAAUG